GACGAACGCUGGCGGCGUGCUUAACACAUGCAAGUCGAACGAAGAGCGAUGGAAGCUUGCUUCUAUCAAUCUUAGUGGCGAACGGGUGAGUAACGCGUAAUCAACCUGCCCUUCAGAGGGGGACAACAGUUGGAAACGACUGCUAAUACCGCAUACGAUCUAAUCUCGGCAUCGAGGAUAGAUGAAAGGUGGCCUCUACAUGUAAGCUAUCACUGAAGGAGGGGAUUGCGUCUGAUUAGCUAGUUGGAGGGGUAACGGCCCACCAAGGCGAUGAUCAGUAGCCGGUCUGAGAGGAUGAACGGCCACAUUGGGACUGAGACACGGCCCAGACUCCUACGGGAGGCAGCAGUGGGGAAUCUUCCGCAAUGGACGAAAGUCUGACGGAGCAACGCCGCGUGAGUGAUGACGGCCUUCGGGUUGUAAAGCUCUGUUAAUCGGGACG
This 442-nucleotide ribosomal RNA is filed under the name Veillonella parvula. Its description in RNAcentral is "bacterial SSU rRNA". It matches the Rfam family "Bacterial small subunit ribosomal RNA", at positions 28 to 447 of the family's 1533-position model. Lineage: Bacteria; Bacillati; Bacillota; Negativicutes; Veillonellales; Veillonellaceae. The record is from RNAcentral.